Hippopotamus amphibius kiboko is the source of this 5003-nucleotide RNA transcript. It is a transcript of the gene named beta-1,3-N-acetylgalactosaminyltransferase 2, with no coding region annotated. The transcript has 8 exons. NCBI's taxonomy places the organism in Eukaryota, Metazoa, Chordata, Mammalia, Artiodactyla, Hippopotamidae. The record is from RefSeq and is a predicted model, not a curated record.
GGGGCUCCGACCGGCGGAGCCGUUGCCGCCCGCGGUCUGAGGAGCCUGAGGAGCGGGGCCCGGAGCCGAGAGAGAAGCUGCUGGACGGCGUCGGGCGCGAGAGGGCGGUCGUCCCCGGAGCGUUAGUACGGGAGUCGGCCGCCGCCCCUCGGCCUCCCUACUUGCAGGUCCCCUAUCUCUCCGCCGGGACGCGGGAGAGCCCGGCGUGCGGCGGGGGCGCGAGGUGGAGCCGGCGGGGGCGGCCAAUGCGAAACUGGCUGGUGCUGCUGUGCCCGUGUGUGCUCGGGGCCGCGCUGCACCUCUGGCUGCGGCUGCGCUCCCCGCCGCCCGCCCGCGCCUCGGGGGCUGGCCCGGCAGAUCAGUUGGCCUUACUUCCUCAGUGGAAAUCUAGUCACUAUGAUGUGGUAGUUGGUGUGCUGUCAGCCCGCAAUAACCAUGAACUCCGCAGUGUGAUAAGAAGCACCUGGCUGAAGCAUUUGACACAACAUCCAGCGUUAAGUCAGCGUGUGCUUGUGAAGUUCAUCAUAGGUGCUCGUGGCUGUGACGUGCCCGUGGAGGACAGGGAGGAUCCUUACUCCUGCAGACUACUCAACAUCACGAACCCAGUUUUGAAUCAGGAAAUUGAGGCGUUCAGUCUUCCUAAAGACACUUCAUCAGGGCUCUCUGAGGACCGAGUGGUCAGCGUGAGCUUCCGAGUUCUCUAUCCGAUCGUUAUUACCAGUCUCGGGGUGUUUUAUGAUGCCAGCGAUGCGGGUUUCCAGAGGAACAUCACUGUCAAGCUCUAUCAAGCAGAACAGGAGGAGGCCCUCUUCAUUGCUCGCUUCAGUCCUCCGAGCUGUGGUGUGCAGGUGAACAAGCUGUGGUACAAGCCUGUGGAGCAGUUCAUCUUACCAGAGAGCUUUGAAGGUACAAUCGUGUGGGAGAGCCAAGACCUCCAAGGCCUUGUGUCAAGAAAUCUCCACAAAGUGACAGUCAAUGAUGGAGGAGGAGUUCUCAGAGUCAUUACAGCUGGGGAGGGGGCCUGGCCUCAUGAAUUCAUGGAAGGUGUGGAGGGAGUUGCAGGUGGUUUUAUUUAUACUAUUCAGGGUAAGUCAGCAGGUUAAAAGUUGAAAAACAUACGGAAUCUCACCUACCUAAUCUUCAUACUUUUGACGUCAAAGAUUCAGAGUUCUGCAACCAUCUCCACUAAUUCCAGACCAUUUCCAUCGCCCCAAAAAGAAGUGGUUGUGUGGUCUUCUUGAGUGAUGCUCCUGAAAAUAUCCACAUCUGCGAAUUCCUGAGAAUUCUGUGUCCGUGAUCUUUAAGAAGAGCUGUGUUGAUGUGGUUGCUGUUGGUCAUUUGCCCUGAUCAUCACUAUGGAACAAAGGUGUCCGGUCAUGCAUCAUCUGGCUUCUCAAAGCUCUGCAGAUCAUGGAUUCCUAUAAAAGAAUUAGGACACAGCUUCCCUGAAGGCUCACCGUGACUGGGGAAAGCAGAGGCUUUAUUCUGAGAGGAAGGUCUUCAGGGGCCUCCCUUAAUAGUGCAGGCUCGAGAAUGGGGCAGACCCCUCUGUUCGAGGCCAUUACAUGUAGUUUGAAGAUGUGAAUGGGCUGUGGCUUUUUUUAUUUGUAGCAUCUUUAUUUAUACAGUGUUUCCUCACAGAAGUAUUUCUAUUCUUACAUCACCCCAAGGGUAGGCUGGAAUAGGUACACAGGCUUUGCCCAUAAACCUGCCAUUAACAAUAGAGAUUUCAAAUUUAGGGAUCCAGGACUUAGCUGGUGGCACAGUAGUUAAGAAUCUACCUGCCAACGCAGGGGACACGGGUUUGAUCCCUGGUCCAAGAAGAUCCCACAUGUCACAGAACAGCUAAGCCCGUGCAUCAGAACUACUGAGCCUGUGUGCUGCAACUACUGAAGCCCUUGUAUCUAGAGCCCGUGCUCCACAACAAGAGAAGCCACCACAAUGAGAAGCCUGCACACCAUAAUGAAGACCGUACGCAACCAAAAAUUUUUUUUUAAAUUUCUUUUUUGGGAUCCUUAAUUUUAGUCCAGAGAUUUUUCAUAAAACUGUGCGAUGACUCUGCCAGGGAAGGUAUCGACUUAGCUCACCACAGGCUGCUAAUGGCUCAGCCCUGGGGAAAACUCAGACCAGGAGGUCAGGCCAGUUUCAUAAAACAGCUCACACUGAGGGGCCAGGUACAGGUGUAACACACCAUCUGACUUAAUGCCUAGCAGCUUCCUUUCUUUUGCCAGUUAAUUCAUGUAUGUACUAUCAAGAGUCUUUAAAAACUUGAGGGGCCCCUGAGACUUCUGGCACUAAACCUUUCUACAGGGAGCAGCUACUAUACCCUGCACAACUGUCUUAAGUUUUCUCUCACUGAGGCUAGAGGAUUAAGGUUUGGGUGAGGAAAAUUCCUUUCAAACAAGUGUUAGGCUAAAGGAAUUAAAAUGAAUAUAGUUUUCUUCUCAUGUACUAAUAAAUAUAUCUGAAAACUGACUAAUUUUUUUAAAAUCUGAGGAUCUACAUGCUGUUUAGAAGAAUCAAGUGGUACACAAAUUCUCAAAUUUUGUUGCAUUAGCAUCCCUUGCUGGGCCCUACCUCAGUCUACAGAGGUAAGAAUCUUCAGGAUUGGAGCUCAGAUACCUGUAUUUUAAUAAGCUCCCUAGAUGGAUUCGAUGCCUCCAAAAUUUGAGAGGCUGUAAACCACAUGAUUCUUGCAAAUAGCACCUAGACAGACGAUCAGAUUUAAAACACACACUGAUAUAUUACUUUAUACUUUAUUACUUUAUAGUUGUAUUUUUCAGAUAUAUGCAGAAUAAACCAAUAUGUAUAAUUUGUUAAUGAAAAAGCCUGCAUUUAAUUUCUGCUCUUGUUAUCAACCGUUCCUAUUGCCACAAUUUUAUAACACUUCCCUUUCCUUCAGGUGUUAAAUUGUGUGUAUUUAUCCUUAUCUUUAAAGUGGAAGGAUGUUACAGUAGAGUUUGUAAGAGUUGGAAGGGGCCUGAGGUCAUUUAGGCCUGUGCUUUUCAAGGGGUUGUCUGUGGUCUACCUGCAUCAAAGUUACGGCAAGUCACAGGUUAGAAAUACAGAUUCCCGGGCUCUACCCCAGACCUGCUGGAUCUUUAGGCUUGGGGCCUAGGAAUCUAUAUUUCAGUAAGCAUUGCUGAGACUCACAGAUUCAGUCUAGCUCCUCCUUUUACAGAUGAGACUGCUGAGGCCCCAAAACGUGUGACUUGUCCAGUGUCUCACAGAUAGCGGCGGAGGCGGAAAUCAAAUAUAGGUCCUCAAGCCCCAAGCCCAAGUCUUUCUGCUUGCAGUUACAAAGAGUGCAGUGUUCAGUUACUUCUUGGUUCCCUUCCCGCACCCCUCCGCCACUCAUUUUUUUAUUUUUCAGAAAUUUUCUAAUCUGAGACAGUUGAGAAAAUCCUGUGCUAGUGAAAGAAUUGCUGCCUUAUUUGAGGACAGUCCCUGUACAAAUGCAACAGAUGAUUCAUUAGUUUGUGAGGGGGUAAUUAAAAUGUCUUCUAAGCACACUGGUAAUAAGUUUUAUUAUAAAAUAUAAAUAAACCAAAAAUAGAGUGCUGUAAGAAACACCCGUGGACUUGUGUUGCUCAGAAUUAACAAAUGUUUAUAUUUUGUCAUAUUUGCUUCCUUUUUUUUUUUCAGAGAAAUAAAGCAUUACAGAUUCAGUUGAAGCCCUCUCCUUCCCAGUACUUCCUACCCCUGUUCCUCUUCCUUCCUCUCAGAGAGGAUACCACUGUCCUGAAACUCACGUGUACCCUUGCCAUUCUUUUUUUUUCUACUUUCUACCAUAUAUGUAUAUAACUUUUCAUAAGUUUUGAUUAAAGUAUGUUAUAAUUUAUACCUGUGGUAUCAUAUCAUAUGUAUCAACUGGCAGUAUACUUCUCUCACUCAGCAUUACUUUUGUGCCAUUCCCCUUAACAUCAAAGAUCAGGUUAAUUUUUUUAAAAUUUAUUUUAUUGAAGUAUAGUCGAUUUAUAGUGUUGUAUUAGUUUCUGCUGUACAGCAGCCUGAUUCAGUUAUACAUAUAUAUACAUUCCUUUUCAUAUUCCUUUCCAUUUUGGUUUAUCCCAGGAUAUUGAAUAUAGUUCCCUGUGCUCUACAGUAGGACCUUGUUGUUUAUCCAUCCUGUAUAUAAAUUAGUUUGCAUCUACUAGUCCCAAACUCCAAAUCUAUUCCCUACCCCACAACCACAAGUGUGUCUGUUCUCUGUGUCUGUGAAUCUGUUUUGGAGAUGAGUUCGUGUCAUAUUUUACAUUCCACAUGUAAGUGCUAUCAUAUGGUAUUUGUCUCUUUCUGACUUAGUAUGAUCAUCUCUCGGUCCAUCCAUGUUGCUACAAAUGGCAUUAUUUCACUUUUUCAUGGCUAAUACUCCAGUGUGUAUGUGUGCGCGCGUGCGUGUGUGUGUGUGUGUACAUACACACCACAUCUUCUUUAUGCAGUCCUCUGUUGAUUGACAUUUAGGUUGUUUCCAUGUCUUGGCUAUUGUAAAUAGUGCUGCUAUGCAGUUUAAAUGUUUAAACUGCUGUAUUCCAUUAUAUGAAUAUACCACAAUUUAAUGAUUCUCCUAUCGGUGGGCAUUUUCACUGUCACAAACAAUGCUGCCAUAAACACCCUUACUAAGGUGUAAAAUAAUGUCUCUGGGGAUGUCUCUGCAAGUGGACAUAGCAAGUCAGACAGUCUGCACAUCUUCAGCCUAACCAGGGGUUGCUGCAUUGCUCCCCAUAGUGGGUGUGUCCGUUUAUCCUCCCACCAGCAAUGGGUGGGAGUUCUGAAAAACUGUAUUCAGUUAGGUUACCUUGGGAGGAGUAUGAAGGCAAUAAUGUUACAAGUUCUGGGUCUUAAGUUUGCAGUAGCCUUUUUCUCCAACUCUGGUUUCCUUUUUAGAAGGUGAUGCUCUCUUAAAAAACCUUCAUUCUCGCCCUCGAAGACUUCUUGAUCAUAUAAGUCAUCUCCAUGAGGAGGAUGCCUUACUGAGCAAGGAAAGCAGCCUCUAUGAUGAU